RNAcentral lists this transfer RNA (70 nucleotides) under Opsarius pulchellus. RNAcentral's name for it is "tRNA-His". It matches the Rfam family "tRNA". Rfam says of the family: Transfer RNA (tRNA) molecules are approximately 80 nucleotides in length. Lineage: Eukaryota; Metazoa; Chordata; Actinopteri; Cypriniformes; Danionidae. The record is from RNAcentral.
GUAAGUUUAGUUUCAUCUAAAAUAUUAGAUCGUGACUCUAAAGAUGGGAGUUAAAGUCUCCCAACUCACC